Non-coding RNA from Manis javanica (Malayan pangolin), 455 nucleotides. The record is from RefSeq and is a predicted model, not a curated record. NCBI's taxonomy places the organism in Eukaryota, Metazoa, Chordata, Mammalia, Pholidota, Manidae.
AAAUGAUCAUCGGAACAAAGCAGCCCUGCCUGCCUUGCUCCCAGGCUGUGCCAAAAUGUAAGACAGAUGGAUGGAGAAUUUUCCCCAAGAAUCAGGAAAAAGGGGAACAGACGCAUAACCACAAAGUAAAGAACAUCGGAUAAACUACUGGUUCCUGGUCUCCAGUCUCUCCAGUCUCUCCAGCUGGUCAUUGUCUUAGACGGAGCUCCUCAAGAAGCGAAUGCAAUGGCAGCCCGGAGGGUACGGGGUGUGUUUGGAAGGUGUCCACCGGAGGCACUUUGGAACAAUCUUUCUCGAAGAGAUUGUAGAGACUGGAACACAACCACUGAGCUCUUCCGGCGAGAUCCCACUGACGCCGUGAGAACUCCCGGCCUGCAGAACUGUGAGAAAUCAAUGUCUGCUGUUCAUAAGCCACAAGCUCUGGGCGUUUGGUUACAGCAGCCUGACCAGGCUAA